ACUCCGUUAGUCUAAUGGAAAGGCACCGGUCUUCUAAACCGGCAAUUAAUGUAGGUUCGAAUCCUACACGGAGUG
This 75-nucleotide transfer RNA is filed under the name Podoviridae sp. ctBev14. RNAcentral's name for it is "tRNA-Arg". It matches the Rfam family "tRNA". From Rfam's summary of the family: Transfer RNA (tRNA) molecules are approximately 80 nucleotides in length. Lineage: Duplodnaviria; Heunggongvirae; Uroviricota; Caudoviricetes. The record is from RNAcentral.